Molecule: ribosomal RNA, 253 nt
Filed under: uncultured bacterium
Lineage: Bacteria
Description: partial 16S ribosomal RNA
Rfam family: Bacterial small subunit ribosomal RNA
Source: RNAcentral
UACGAAGGGUGCUAGCGUUGUUCGGAAUUACUGGGCGUAAAGGGCGCGUAGGCGGCUUGGCAAGUUGGAUGUGAAAGCCCAGGGCUCAACCCUGGAAUUGCAUUCAAGACUGCCUUGCUUGAAUUCGGUAGAGGUUGGUGGAAUUCCCAGUGUAGAGGUGAAAUUCGUAGAGAUUGGGAAGAACACCUGUGGCGAAGGCGGCCAACUGGACCGACAUUGACGCUGAGGCGCGAAAGCGUGGGGAGCAAACAGG